RNAcentral lists this ribosomal RNA (433 nucleotides) under uncultured bacterium. RNAcentral describes it as "partial 16S ribosomal RNA". It matches the Rfam family "Bacterial small subunit ribosomal RNA", at positions 29 to 507 of the family's 1533-position model. The record is from RNAcentral.
AACGAACGCUGGCGGCAUGCCUAACACAUGCAAGUCGAACGAGACCUUCGGGUCUAGUGGCGCACGGGUGCGUAACGCGUGGGAACCUGCCCUUAGGUUCGGAAUAACUCCCCGAAAGGGGUGCUAAUACCGGAUAAUGUCUUCGGACCAAAGAUUUAUCGCCUUUGGAUGGGCCCGCGUUGGAUUAGCUAGUUGGUAGAGUGAAAGCCUACCAAGGCGACGAUCCAUAGCUGGUCUGAGAGGAUGAUCAGCCACACUGGGACUGAGACACGGCCCAGACUCCUACGGGAGGCAGCAGUGGGGAAUAUUGGACAAUGGGCGAAAGCCUGAUCCAGCAAUGCCGCGUGAGUGAUGAAGGCCUUAGGGUUGUAAAGCUCUUUUACCCGGGAUGAUAAUGACAGUACCGGGAGAAUAAGCUCCGGCUAACUCCGUG